UACGGGGGGAGCAAGCGUUGUUCGGAUUUACUGGGCGUAAAGGGCGCGUAGGCGGUCAGCACAAGUCAGUUGUGAAAUCUCCGGGCUUAACUCGGAAAGGUCAACUGAUACUGUGCGACUAGAGUGUGGAAGGGGCAACUGGAAUUCUCGGUGUAGCGGUGAAAUGCGUAGAUAUCGAGAGGAACACCUGCGGCGAAGGCGGGUUGCUGGGCCGACACUGACGCUGAUGCGCGAAAGCCAGGGGAGCGAACGGG
RNAcentral lists this ribosomal RNA (254 nucleotides) under uncultured bacterium. Its description in RNAcentral is "partial 16S ribosomal RNA". It matches the Rfam family "Bacterial small subunit ribosomal RNA", at positions 524 to 776 of the family's 1533-position model. The record is from RNAcentral.